RNAcentral lists this long non-coding RNA (444 nucleotides) under Gallus gallus (chicken). RNAcentral describes it as "lncRNA (ENSGALG00010007105.1)". The record is from RNAcentral. Lineage: Eukaryota; Metazoa; Chordata; Aves; Galliformes; Phasianidae.
AGGAGAGGGAAGCACGUCUUUUUGAAGAUCCCUAUGUAGUUAAGGACUUCUGAAGGUCGCCAACACUGGAAGGCUUUCAUCCACUAUGAACAUUCCGUUAAUGACGCUAUAGAGAAGAUAUUCUCAACCAGAAGAAACUGAAGUUGCAAGAUAUUCACAAAUUAGCUGAACUGCCUUAUAGAUUCGAAAUAUAAUCCUUUACAUUAAAAAUACUAUAAUUACAAAUGAAAUUAAUUCUGAUUAAAGUUGUGGAAUGCAAUGUCAAUAUUAUAAGCAUGCUUAUUCGUGUUUGCCUAAUAUUUUAACUAGCUGUUUUUGUUGCUGCAAGCCAUCUACUAUGCUUUAAUAAAAAUGAAUAUAAAUAUCAGUCCAGUCCUGUGAACAUCUUCAGUACAGAAGUAUAGUUUAUGAUCAAUCUGUGAGACUCUUGUCUAAAUAUCAGCC